GGGGCAGUAGUUUAGCGGUAAAACUUCAGCCUGUGGCCCUGACGUGGUUGGUUCAACUCCAACCUGCCCCU
Molecule: transfer RNA, 71 nt
Filed under: Ktedonobacteraceae bacterium
Lineage: Bacteria; Bacillati; Chloroflexota; Ktedonobacteria; Ktedonobacterales; Ktedonobacteraceae
Description: tRNA-His
Rfam family: tRNA
About the family: Transfer RNA (tRNA) molecules are approximately 80 nucleotides in length. Their secondary structure includes four short double-helical elements and three loops (D, anti-codon, and T loops).
Source: RNAcentral